Molecule: ribosomal RNA, 703 nt
Filed under: Caccinia strigosa
Lineage: Eukaryota; Viridiplantae; Streptophyta; Magnoliopsida; Boraginales; Boraginaceae
Description: eukaryotic LSU rRNA
Rfam family: 5.8S ribosomal RNA (bases 277-432)
Source: RNAcentral
UGUAACAAGGUUUCCGUAGGUGAACCUGCGGAAGGAUCAUUGUCGAAUCCUACAAAACUAUACCACUCGCGAACAUGUUCAUAAACACAGGACCAUAUCAAUUGUGGGGAACUCCUUGCAUUUGAUUUGUGCCUAACGACACCAAGGCAUUUGCUUUGGUGCCUAACAAACCCCCGGCGCGAGAAGCGCCAAGGAAUACUCUAACAAGGGCUCGAUCCGUCCUCUCCCGUUCGCGGGGCCAAGGGGAUUGGAGAAAGCUUCUUUCUAAACCAAAACGACUCUCGGCAACGGAUAUCUCGGCUCUCGCAUCGAUGAAGAACGUAGCGAAAUGCGAUACUUGGUGUGAAUUGCAGAAUCCCGUGAACCAUCGAGUCUUUGAACGCAAGUUGCGCCUGAAGCCAUUAGGCUAAGGGCACGUCUGCCUGGGCGUCACGCAUCGCGUCACCCCUUCAACAAUUUGUUUGGAUGGGGUGGAAUGUGACCUCCUGUGCAUAAAAGUGCAGCUGGUCAAAAUUUGAGUCCAGAGUCUAGGAUGUCACGGCAAGUGGUGGUUGGAUAACAACUCGCGUCCUGUCGUGUGCCAAACCUCUUGUGGCUUUCAAGACCCUAAGGUGCUUGUCAUCCUCCUUCAUGGGUGGUGAACUUGUGCUACGAACGCGACCCCAGGUCAGGCGGGAUUACCCGCUAAAUUUAAGCAUAUCAA